This 72-nucleotide transfer RNA is filed under the name Camelus bactrianus (Bactrian camel). It matches the Rfam family "tRNA". Rfam says of the family: Transfer RNA (tRNA) molecules are approximately 80 nucleotides in length. Their secondary structure includes four short double-helical elements and three loops (D, anti-codon, and T loops). The record is from Rfam by way of RNAcentral. RNAcentral also lists the same sequence under 2 other names. Lineage: Eukaryota; Metazoa; Chordata; Mammalia; Artiodactyla; Camelidae.
GAGGGUAUAGCUCAGUGGUAGAGCACAUGCUUAGCAUGCACAAGGUCCUGGGCUCAAUUCCCAGUACCUCCA